CGGGUGUAGCACAACGGCUAGUGCACCAGCCUUCCAAGCUGGGGACGUGGGUUCGAUUCCCAUCACCC
RNAcentral lists this transfer RNA (68 nucleotides) under bovine gut metagenome. It matches the Rfam family "tRNA". From Rfam's summary of the family: Transfer RNA (tRNA) molecules are approximately 80 nucleotides in length. RNAcentral also lists the same sequence under 1 other name. The record is from RNAcentral.